RNAcentral lists this ribosomal RNA (471 nucleotides) under uncultured bacterium. RNAcentral describes it as "partial 16S ribosomal RNA". It matches the Rfam family "Bacterial small subunit ribosomal RNA", at positions 30 to 506 of the family's 1533-position model. The record is from RNAcentral.
AUUGAACGCUGGCGGCAGGCCUAACACAUGCAAGUCGAGCGGGGACUUCGGUCCUAGCGGCGAACGGGUGAGUAAUGCUUGGGAAUCUGCCCAGUAGUGGGGGAUAACGUCCCGAAAGGGACGCUAAUACCGCAUACGUCCUACGGGAGAAAGAGGGGGAUCUUCGGACCUCUCGCUAUUGGAUGAGCCCAAGUCGGAUUAGCUAGUUGGUAGGGUAAUGGCCUACCAAGGCGACGAUCCGUAGCUGGUCUGAGAGGAUGAUCAGCCACACUGGAACUGAGACACGGUCCAGACUCCUACGGGAGGCAGCAGUGGGGAAUAUUGGACAAUGGGCGAAAGCCUGAUCCAGCCAUGCCGCGUGUGUGAAGAAGGCCUUCGGGUUGUAAAGCACUUUAAGCGGGGAGGAAGGUUCGCGGCCUAAUACGUCGCGGAAUUGACGUUACCCGCAGAAUAAGCACCGGCUAACUCUGU